UACGGAGGGUGCAAGCGUUGUCCGGAAUCACUGGGCGUAAAGGGCGCGUAGGCGGCUCAUGAAGGCUGUGGUGAAAGUCCGGGGCUCAACCUCGGAUCGGCCGUGGCGACUCGUGGGCUGGAGCACUGUAGAGGCGGGUGGAAUCCGGGUGUAGCGGUGGGAAUGCGUAGAGAUCCGGAAGAACACCAGUGGCGAAGGCGGCCCGCUGGGCAGUGGCUGACGCUGAGGCG
RNAcentral lists this ribosomal RNA (230 nucleotides) under uncultured bacterium. RNAcentral describes it as "partial 16S ribosomal RNA". It matches the Rfam family "Bacterial small subunit ribosomal RNA", at positions 524 to 753 of the family's 1533-position model. The record is from RNAcentral.